UACGUAGGGUCCGAGCGUUGUCCGGAAUUAUUGGGCGUAAAGAGCUUGUAGGCGGUUUGUCGCGUCUGCUGUGAAAAUCCGGGGCUCAACCCCGGACUUGCAGUGGGUACGGGCAGACUAGAGUGUGGUAGGGGAGACUGGAAUUCCAGGUGUAGCGGUGAAAUGCGUAGAUAUCUGGAGGAACACCGGUGGCGAAGGCGGCAUCCUGGACCGGUAUUGACACUGAGGCGCGAAAGCCAGGGGAGCAAACGGG
Molecule: ribosomal RNA, 253 nt
Filed under: uncultured bacterium
Lineage: Bacteria
Description: partial 16S ribosomal RNA
Rfam family: Bacterial small subunit ribosomal RNA
Source: RNAcentral